This 46-nucleotide non-coding RNA is filed under the name Schistosoma mattheei. The record is from RNAcentral. Lineage: Eukaryota; Metazoa; Platyhelminthes; Trematoda; Strigeidida; Schistosomatidae.
GAGCUGCUGAGGAGUCCCACAACAGGACGAUACGGCUGUCCAGUGC